GAUGAACGCUGGCGGCGUGCCUAAUACAUGCAAGUCGAGCGAACAGACGAGGAGCUUGCUCCUCUGACGUUAGCGGCGGACGGGUGAGUAACACGUGGAUAACCUACCUAUAAGACUGGGAUAACUUCGGGAAACCGGAGCUAAUACCGGAUAAUAUAUUGAACCGCAUGGUUCAAUAGUGAAAGACGGUUUUGCUGUCACUUAUAGAUGGAUCCGCGCCGCAUUAGCUAGUUGGUAAGGUAACGGCUUACCAAGGCAACGAUGCGUAGCCGACCUGAGAGGGUGAGCGCCAACAGGAGAACGGAGACAGGGACAAGACUCCUGGGGGGGGCGGAAGGGGGAAAUCGUCCGCAGUGGGCAAAAGUUUGACGGAACAACGCCGGGUGAGUAAUAAGGGUGUGGGGAUCGAAAAACUCUUUUAGGGGGGAAAAAAAAAUGUGAAAGAAAAUAUGCACGUCUUGAGGUUCCUUAAUAAGAAGCCCAGGGCAAACUACGGC
RNAcentral lists this ribosomal RNA (497 nucleotides) under uncultured bacterium. RNAcentral describes it as "partial 16S ribosomal RNA". It matches the Rfam family "Bacterial small subunit ribosomal RNA", at positions 28 to 508 of the family's 1533-position model. The record is from RNAcentral.